This 572-nucleotide ribosomal RNA is filed under the name Kluyveromyces marxianus. RNAcentral's name for it is "eukaryotic LSU rRNA". It matches the Rfam family "Eukaryotic large subunit ribosomal RNA", at positions 70 to 664 of the family's 3401-position model. Lineage: Eukaryota; Fungi; Ascomycota; Saccharomycetes; Saccharomycetales; Saccharomycetaceae. The record is from RNAcentral.
CGGGAUUGCCUUAGUAACGGCGAGUGAAGCGGCAAAAGCUCAAAUUUGAAAUCUGGCGUCUUCGACGUCCGAGUUGUAAUUUGAAGAAGGCGACUUUGUAGCUGGUCCUUGUCUAUGUUCCUUGGAACAGGACGUCAUAGAGGGUGAGAAUCCCGUGUGGCGAGGAUCCCAGUUAUUUGUAAAGUGCUUUCGACGAGUCGAGUUGUUUGGGAAUGCAGCUCUAAGUGGGUGGUAAAUUCCAUCUAAAGCUAAAUAUUGGCGAGAGACCGAUAGCGAACAAGUACAGUGAUGGAAAGAUGAAAAGAACUUUGAAAAGAGAGUGAAAAAGUACGUGAAAUUGUUGAAAGGGAAGGGCAUUUGAUCAGACAUGGCGUUUGCUUCGGCUUUCGCUGGGCCAGCAUCAGUUUUAGCGGUUGGAUAAAUCCUCGGGAAUGUGGCUCUGCUUCGGUAGAGUGUUAUAGCCCGUGGGAAUACAGCCAGCUGGGACUGAGGAUUGCGACUUUUGUCAAGGAUGCUGGCGUAAUGGUUAAAUGCCGCCCGUCUUGAAACACGGACCUCCUGUGUGAAGUGAU